Molecule: ribosomal RNA, 439 nt
Filed under: uncultured bacterium
Lineage: Bacteria
Description: bacterial SSU rRNA
Rfam family: Bacterial small subunit ribosomal RNA
Source: RNAcentral
GCAAAACGCGAAGAACCUUACCAAGGCUUGACAUAUAGAAGAACGGGUCAGAAAUGAUCAACUCUUUGGACACUUCUAUACAGGUGGUGCAUGGUUGUCGUCAGCUCGUGUCGUGAGAUGUUCGGUUAAGUCCGGCAACGAGCGUAACCCUCGUCCCAUGUUGCCAGCGGGUUAUGCCGGGGACUCAUGGGAGACUGCCGGGGUCAACUCGGAGGAAGGUGGGGAUGACGUCAAAUCAUCAUGCCCCUUAUGUCUUGGGCUUCACGCAUGCUACAAUGGCCGGUACAAAGGGCUGCGAUGCCGUAAGGUGGAGCGAAUCCCAAAAAGCCGGUCUCAGUUCGGAUUGGGGUCUGCAACUCGACCCCAUGAAGUCGGAGUCGCUAGUAAUCGCAGAUCAGCAACGCUGCGGUGAAUACGUUCCCGGGUCUUGUACACACCG